Molecule: transfer RNA, 89 nt
Filed under: Perca flavescens (yellow perch)
Lineage: Eukaryota; Metazoa; Chordata; Actinopteri; Perciformes; Percidae
Rfam family: tRNA
About the family: Transfer RNA (tRNA) molecules are approximately 80 nucleotides in length. Their secondary structure includes four short double-helical elements and three loops (D, anti-codon, and T loops). Further hydrogen bonds mediate the characteristic L-shaped molecular structure. tRNAs have two regions of fundamental functional importance: the anti-codon, which is responsible for specific mRNA codon recognition, and the 3' end, to which the tRNAs corresponding amino acid is attached (by aminoacyl-tRNA synthetases). tRNAs cope with the degeneracy of the genetic code in two manners: having more than one tRNA (with a specific anti-codon) for a particular amino acid; and 'wobble' base-pairing, i.e. permitting non-standard base-pairing at the 3rd anti-codon position.
Source: Rfam by way of RNAcentral
CCUUCGAUAGCUCAGUUGGUAGAGCGGAGGACUGUAGGUUGAUAAUUACAGGCAUCCUUAGGUCGCUGGUUCAAUUCCGGCUCGAAGGA